RNAcentral lists this ribosomal RNA (440 nucleotides) under uncultured bacterium. RNAcentral's name for it is "partial 16S ribosomal RNA". It matches the Rfam family "Bacterial small subunit ribosomal RNA", at positions 338 to 795 of the family's 1533-position model. The record is from RNAcentral.
CCUACGGGAGGCAGCAGUGGGGAAUAUUGGACAAUGGGGGGAACCCUGAUCCAGCGACGCCGCGUGAGUGAAGAAGUAUUUCGGUAUGUAAAGCUCUAUCAGCAGGGAAGAAAAUGACGGUACCUGACUACGAAGCCCCGGCUAACUACGUGCCAGCAGCCGCGGUAAUACGUAGGGGGCAAGCGUUAUCCGGAUUUACUGGGGGUAAAGGGAGCGUAGACGGUGCAGCAAGUCAGAUGUGAAAGGUCGGGGCCCAACCCCGGGACUGCAUUGGAAACUGGUGAACUGGAGUAGAGGAGAGGUAAGCGGAAUGCCUGGUGUAGCGGUGAAAUGCGUAGAUAUUAGGCAGAACACCAGUGGCGAAGGCAGCAUACUGGACUGAAACUGACGUUGAGGCUCGAAAGCGUGGGGAGCGAACAGGAUUAGAUACCCUGGUAGUC